UCCGAAAAAGCAUUUGUUUGUAAAAAACCAAAGAUUCUGGAAGUUGAACCAAAUGAGAAGCCUCCAAAUAAGAAAGACCAAGAAGAGGCUGUUGUACCUGCUCACAUCACAACUUGGAUACUAGUGAUUCUGGCAAUUCUUAUUCUCAUUGGCGCUGGCCUUGUAGGCUAUUUCCUGUACAAGAAAAAGAGACCAAAUCAACUGCAAAGAGAUGGUCAAGGCACAGACACGUUGUUAAAAUGCAGUGAUGCUGUUUCAAAAACAAGUGAUAGAGAGGAUUCUGUACCCACUGUUGAGCACAUGGAACAAAUUAUUCUAUAGAGUAAUAAAAUAUGUGCCCAAUUUUGGUAAUAUUAGCCAACUAGAAUGGAAGAAAUCUUAAAUCAAAGCUCAUUUUUUCUUGUUUAAAUAGUAGUCUCUUUGUAUAUGUACUUAGCAGAAGCAUUUAUUCCUAUUAUAGUCAGGUAUCAUUCAAGAUCUUCUCAUAUACAAGUAGGUUUUACCAAAAGGAAGAUGGAGGGCUAUUCAAGUGGGUAAAUGGAUAUAAUUAAAACAACUAAAGCAGAGCAAACCAGUGUGAACAAAUAUUUAGGAAACUAUGGUUUCUAGUCAGAACUGGAUUGCCAUGAGAUAUAAUAAAUGGUCAAAGUCUUAGAGGAGUAGUAACGUUAAUCUGUAUCUUCAAAAACAACAAGGAGUCCUGUGGCAUCUUAGGCUAUGUCUAGACUACACCUCU
Non-coding RNA from Pelodiscus sinensis (Chinese soft-shelled turtle), 736 nucleotides. NCBI's taxonomy places the organism in Eukaryota, Metazoa, Chordata, Testudines, Trionychidae. The record is from RefSeq and is a predicted model, not a curated record.